Molecule: long non-coding RNA, 791 nt
Filed under: Dasypus novemcinctus (nine-banded armadillo)
Lineage: Eukaryota; Metazoa; Chordata; Mammalia; Cingulata; Dasypodidae
Description: lncRNA (ENSDNOG00000050835.1)
Source: RNAcentral
GCCGGGGGGUCUCGCCUCCCCGGCGAGCGGGGAGGGUCCUGCGCCGGAGGGCCGGAGGCAGAGAAACCCCGCCGGACUCCGGCUGAAGUCGGGACCACGCGCUAGGGACUUAGUUCCUUUCCACCUUUCCGGUUACCUCCAUUGUCCCCUUCCCCCACUGCGGUGCGCCCCAAGCUUCCCUUUUGCUUCAGUUCUCCGCAUCCAGACCCCCUCCGCGGACCCCUAUCAGAUCUCCAAGUAUCUCCGAGCUUGCCCUGAAUCAAAUUAAUUCAGGAAAUAGAAAAGAGCCAAUCUUCCUUGAGCACCUACCGUGCUGGUUGGAGCACUGGGGCUGGAGGCCUUGACAGAUGACAGGUGACACUGAGCUCUGUAUUGCUGAUGGUUUCCUGGUGGGUAAUUCGACCUUAGACCGAUUCUGCUGUGUCCUCUGUUCCUGGUCUCAUCUUUCUGCUCUACCCCUUCAUGGUUCUCCCGUGGCUCCCUUUUGUCUACAAGGUAAGUCCAGUCACCUUAGCCGGGCAUUCACAACUUGUCAGGAGCUGGUGCUUCUCUCUCCAGCCUCAUCUCUCUUUAUUGCCUCCUGCUCACAAUGCUCACCGCACACUUCACACUUGCUCUCCUGUUGGCCUGCAGUUACUUCCCUCCUCAGCCUUCUCCUCCAGGCCUUCCUCGAAUAUUCUCCCAGCAAUGUGAAGUCCCUCCUCUGAGCCUCCAUAGGAUCUCUAACUGCCCCAGGUACGGUGCUUGCCCUGCUGCAUUGUCACUGUGCCUCAGGCUCUCUCACACCAGAC